AAGCCAGACUCCUACGGGAGGCAGCAGUGGGGAAUAUUGCACAAUGGGGGGAACCCUGAUGCAGCGACGCCGCGUGGGCGAGGAAGUAUUUCGGUAUGUAAAGCCCUAUCGGCAGGGAAGAAGAAAUGACGGUACCUGAAUAAGAAGCACCGGCUAAAUACGUGCCAGCAGCCGCGGUAAUACGUAUGGUGCAAGCGUUAUCCGGAUUUACUGGGUGUAAAGGGGGCGCAGACGGCAGCGCAAGCCAGGAGUGAAAGCCCGGGGCCCAACCCCGGGACUGCUCUUGGAACUGCGCGGCUGGAGUGCAGGAGGGGCAGGCGGAAUUCCUGGUGUAGCGGUGAAAUGCGUAGAUAUCAGGAGGAACACCGGUGGCGAAGGCGGCCUGCUGGGCUGCGACUGACGUUGAGGCCCGAAAGCGUGGGGAGCAAACAGGAUUAGAUACCCCGGUAAC
Molecule: ribosomal RNA, 451 nt
Filed under: uncultured bacterium
Lineage: Bacteria
Description: bacterial SSU rRNA
Rfam family: Bacterial small subunit ribosomal RNA
Source: RNAcentral